This is an RNA transcript of Vitis vinifera (wine grape), 9673 nucleotides long. RefSeq lists it as uncharacterized. The transcript is spliced from 7 exons. The record is from RefSeq and is a predicted model, not a curated record. Lineage: Eukaryota; Viridiplantae; Streptophyta; Magnoliopsida; Vitales; Vitaceae.
AGACCUCCGAAUCAUGGCAUCUCACCUUUUGCUGCUGCCUGUCUCUCACAAUUGCUUGAGGAACACUCAGUAUCUGAUUCCUUUCCUGCGCUCGCCUUUUCCCCUCGGGCUUCCGAUAAAUAAAAUUCAAGAUCCGAAGCUUCCUCAAUCUCUUCCCUCUGUAACCCUCCUCUCAUUUUUAUCAAAUGUUUUGUACAGUUGUGUUCAGAUAUGAAAGUUGAGGAACGAAUAUCUUUUUUCGUAAAUUGGUGAAUUAAAGAAUGCUUUUCCCGUGAAACAUAUAUAUAUAAAAGACGCCUGAGUCAUUUUAGUUUCAGGUAGGCUACCUGGCAUCUCCCCUUUUCCUGCUGUCCGUCUGUCACAAUUGUUGCCUGAGGAACACUCAGUGUCUGAUUCCCUUCCUGCCUUCUUCCUCUUCUUCCCCUCAGGACCUCAACAUAUACUCUGCUCCUUUUCCAUUUGCUUCCAAGAAGUAAAAUCCAUAAUCCAAAGCUUUCUCAAUCUCUUCCCUCUGUAACCUUUUUCUCAUUUAUUUAUUUUUUUUAUAUCAACUAUUUCUCAUUCUUCACCUGUAAUCACUCUCUUUUAAUUUCCAUAAAAAAGAAAAAAAGGAAAAUCUGCUGCCUCCCACAAACUCUGCUCCUUCCAUACCUCAAACCUUCCAUUUCUUCUGCCACAACAGAUUCGAUCAAAUACCAAUCUUUCGUGUAUUUUCCUUCUCCUUCUCCUUCUCCUGCUGUUGUUUCCCUUUUCCUUAUCUGUUUUCGCUCAAUUCCCAUCUAUUUCUAGAAAAAAGAAGUUGGAAAUGGUUGAAAUUGUUAUUUCCGUUGCAGCAAAAGUUGCAGAGUACCUGGUUGAUUCAAUUAUACGUCCACUGGGUUAUCUGGUUAACUACCAUCGCAACAUUACGGAUCUCAACCAACGAAUUGACAGUCUCCAUCUUGCAAGGGAGAGGCUGCAGGUACCUGUGGAUGAGGCUAAUAGGCAAGGGGAUGAAAUCUUUCCUGGUGUUCAGGAGUGGCAGACGUAUGCCGAAGGGAUCAUCCAAAAGAGAAACGAUUUCAAUGAAGAUGAAAGGAAAGCAAGCAAGAGCUGUUUCUAUUUAAAGUCCCGCUACCAACUAAGCAAGCAAGCAGAGAAGCAGGCUGCGGAGAUUGUUGAUAAAAUCCAAGAAGCUCAUAACUUUGGUGACAGAGUAUCGUAUCGCCCUCCUCCUCCUCCUCCUCCAUUCAUCAGCUCUGCAUCUUUCAAAGAUUAUGGGGCUUUCCAGUCAAGAGAGUCUACUUUUAACCAAAUUAUGGAGGCCUUGAGAAACGAAGAUAUGCGCAUGAUCGGUGUCUGGGGAAUGGGCGGCGUGGGCAAAACCACUCUUGUCAAACAAGUAGCCCAACAAGCGGAGGAAGACAAGCUCUUUCACAAGGUGGUCAUGGUGUUACACAUAUCCCAAACUCCCAACAUCGCAGAAAUUCAAGAAAAAAUUGCAAGAAUGUUGGGUUUGAAAUUUGAGGUGAAGGAGGAUAGAGCAGGUCGCCUGAGGCAAAGGUUGAAGAGAGAGGAGAAAAUCCUGGUGAUCUUAGAUGAUAUCUGGGGGAAACUUGAGUUGGGAGAAAUAGGAAUUCCUUACCGAGAUGAUCACAAGGGGUGCAAAGUGCUGCUGACUUCCCGGGAGCAUCAGGUUUUAUCUAAAGAUAUGCGUACUCAAAAGGAGUUCCAUCUUCAACAUUUAAGUGAAGAUGAAGCCUGGAAUUUAUUCAAGAAGACAGCAGGUGAUUCAGUGGAGAGGCCUGAACUGCGUCCCAUAGCAGUUGAUGUAGCUAAAAAAUGUGACGGUCUACCAGUUGCAAUUGUCACCAUUGCAAAUGCAUUAAGAGGUGAGAGUGUGCAUGUAUGGGAGAAUGCCUUGGAAGAACUGAGAAGGUCUGCACCAACAAACAUCAGAGGAGUGAGUAAAGACGUCUACUCAUGUCUGGAGCUGAGCUACAACCAUUUGGAAAGUGAUGAAGUAAAGUCCUUGUUUUUACUUUGUGGUGUUCUGGGGUUGGGAGAUAUUUACAUGGAUUUCUUGCUACUAUAUGCUAUGGGAUUGAAUUUGUUUAAAGGAUUCUUUUCAUGGGAGAAAGCAGCAAAUAAACUAAUCACACUGGUGGAAAAUCUGAAAGGCUCAAGCUUGUUGCUUGACGAUGAAGACAGAGGCAAUGAGAGAUUUUCGAGCUUGUUUUUCAAUGACGCGUUUGUCAGAAUGCAUGAUGUUGUUCGUGAUGUUGCCAUAUCAAUUGCAUCCAAAGAUCCUCAUCAAUUUGUGGUGAAAGAAGCGGUUGGAUUACAAGAAGAAUGGCAAUGGAUGAAUGAAUGCAGAAAUUGCACUCGUAUCUCUUUGAAAUGCAAAAACAUAGAUGAGCUUCCUCAAGGAUUGGUAUGUCCCAAACUUAAGUUCUUUUUAUUGUAUUCAGGUGAUUCUUACUUGAAAAUUCCAGACACCUUUUUCCAAGACACCAAAGAACUGACAGUUUUAGAUUUGUCUGGAGUGUCUCUCAAGCCAUCUCCUUCAUCGCUUGGUUUUCUUUUAAAUCUUCGCACAUUGUGUCUAAAUAGAUGCGUGCUCGAAGACAUAGCAGUAAUUGGACACCUGGAGAGACUACAAGUUCUUAGUUUGGCUUGCUCCCACAUUUAUCAGUUGCCAAAAGAAAUGAUGAAAUUGAGUGAUCUAAGGGUGUUGGAUUUGCGGUAUUGCUUCUCCCUCAAAGUAAUUCCACAAAAUCUUAUAUUCAGUCUAUCUCGAUUAGAGUAUUUGAGCAUGAAAGGAAGUGUUAAUAUUGAAUGGGAGGCAGAAGGAUUUAAUAGCGGAGAAAGAAUUAAUGCUUGCCUUUCUGAGCUGAAACACCUAUCCGGCUUGAGGACUUUGGAGUUAGAAGUAUCUAAUCCCAGUUUGCUUCCCGAAGAUGAUGUGCUCUUUGACAACUUGACAUUGACCAGAUAUUCAAUAGUAAUAGGUGAUUCUUGGAGGCCAUACGAUGAGGAGAAAGCCAUAGCAAGGUUGCCAAAUGAUUAUGAGUAUAAAGCCUCGAGAAGGUUGAGGCUGGAUGGGGUUAAAAGUCUUCAUGUGGUGAACCGCUUCUCCAAACUGUUGAAGAGAAGUCAAGUUGUACAGUUGUGGAGAUUGAAUGAUACUAAACAUGUGGUUUAUGAGUUAGACGAGGAUGGUUUUCCUCAAGUGAAGUAUCUCUGUAUCUGGAGCUGUCCUACCAUGCAAUACAUCCUUCAUUCCACUUCAGUGGAAUGGGUUCCACCACGUAAUACCUUCUGUAUGUUGGAGGAACUGUUUCUUACUUCCCUCAGUAACUUGGAGGCAGUAUGCCAUGGCCCAAUUCUGAUGGGGUCUUUUGGUAACUUAAGAAUUGUAAGAGUGAGUCAUUGUGAGAGGUUGAAAUAUGUCUUCUCUCUUCCCACACAACAUGGAAGGGAAUCAGCUUUUCCUCAACUGCAAUCCUUGUCACUGAGGGUUCUCCCAAAGCUCAUUAGCUUCUACACCACAAGAAGCAGCGGUAUCCCGGAGUCGGCGACAUUUUUCAAUCAACAGGUUGCAUUCCCUGCCUUGGAGUACUUACAUGUAGAAAAUCUGGAUAAUGUGAGAGCAUUAUGGCACAACCAACUUUCAGCAGAUUCCUUUUCCAAGCUAAAGCACUUGCAUGUAGCUUCCUGCAACAAAAUAUUGAAUGUUUUUCCCCUUUCCGUGGCGAAAGCCCUUGUGCAACUUGAGGACCUAUGCAUAUUAUCUUGUGAAGCAUUAGAGGUAAUUGUUGUCAAUGAAGAUGAAGAUGAAGAUGAAGAUGAAACAACACCUUUAUUCUUAUUCCCUAAACUAACCUCUUUUACACUCGAAUCCUUACACCAACUCAAAAGAUUUUAUUCGGGAAGGUUUGCUUCAAGAUGGCCACUUUUGAAGGAAUUAAAAGUGUGCAAUUGUGAUAAAGUGGAGAUACUCUUUCAAGAAAUAGGUUUGGAAGGUGAACUUGAUAACAAAAUUCAACAAUCACUCUUCUUGGUCGAAAAGGAAGCAUUCCCUAAUUUGGAAGAAUUGAGAUUGACGUUAAAGGGCACUGUGGAGAUAUGGCGGGGCCAAUUUUCAAGGGUGUCAUUUUCCAAACUAAGAGUGUUGAAUAUAACAAAGCAUCAUGGUAUUUUGGUUAUGAUUUCCUCAAACAUGGUUCAAAUAUUACAUAAUCUAGAACGACUAGAGGUGACAAAGUGUGAUUCAGUGAAUGAGGUUAUCCAAGUGGAAAGGCUUUCAAGUGAAGAAUUUCAUGUUGACACGCUUCCACGAUUAACUGAAAUACACCUCGAGGAUCUACCUAUGUUGAUGCAUUUAUUUGGAUUAAGCCCAUAUUUGCAAAGUGUUGAAACUCUAGAGAUGGUCAAUUGUAGGAGUUUGAUUAAUUUGGUAACACCCUCAAUGGCUAAAAGACUGGUGCAACUCAAAACACUUAUUAUAAAAGAAUGCCACAUGAUGAAAGAAAUAGUGGCAAAUGAGGGAGAUGAACCACCAAAUGAUGAGAUUGAUUUUGCUAGAUUAACAAGGUUGGAACUUGAUUGUUUACCAAAUCUAAAAAGUUUUUGCUCAGCAAGAUAUGCCUUCCGAUUCCCAUUCUUGGAAGAAAUAAGUAUGGCAGCAUGCCCUAAGAUGAAAUUUUUUUGCAAGGGAGUCUUAGACACACCAAGGCUAAAAUGUGUACAAAUGGGUGACCAUUCAGAAGUCUUAGACACACCAAGGCUACAAUGUGUACAAAUGGGUGAUCUUUUUUUCGAACAAUGUUGGGAAGGUGACCUGAAUACCACCAUACACAAGAUGUUCAUGGUACAGGACACCAUGCCACCAAGGAGACCUGCAUCUUCCCAAAACAAUCAGGCUAAUGAUGAUGUACCUCCAGUUGAGGGUUUGCCUCCCGUGAGUGCAGAAGGGAUCUAUAGGUAUCUUGGGACACUAGCUGGUUUAGUUGAACGCCAAGCUCGAGCUGUUGGGACUAAUGUUCAGGGACAGUCUUCAUCUUCUAGGGGUAGCUCUUUUGAUGACUUCAAGAAAUUGGGUCCUCCUUACUUUUCUGGUGCUACAGAUCCCACAGAGGCAGAGGCUUGGAUCCUUAAGAUGGAGAAAAUCUUUGGUGUCAUAGAUUGCUCUGAGGAGCAAAAAGCCUCUUAUGCAGCUUUUAUGUUAGAUAAAGAGGCAGAUCAUUGGUGGCGUAUGACUAGGAGACUUUUGGAGGAUCAGGGACCCAUAACAUGGAGACAAUUUAGGGAGGCUUUCUACAAGAAGUAUUUUCCUGACAGUGUUAGGCGGCAGAAGGUGGGAGAGUUUAUUCGUUUGGAACAGGGGGAUAUGACUGUGGCUCAGUAUGAGGCCAAAUUUACAGAGUUAUCACGUUUUUCCCCACAGUUGAUUGCUACAGAGGAGGAAAAGGCAUUAAAGUUUCAGGAUGGAUUGAAGCCUUAUUUGAAGAACAAGAUAUCUAUUCUGAAGCUUGGUGUCUAUUCAGAGGUUGUUGACAGAGCCCUUAUAGCAGAGAAAGAUAAUGAGGAGCUUCAUCAGUAUAGAGAACAGCAAAGGAAGCGAAAUAGGAGUGAUGGUGCUCAUGGUAAUCAAGCACAGCGAAGGUCUACAUCAGGAAGAAAUCAUAAUAAAGGGAAGGCAGCGCAGAAUUUAGAUGGGGCUUGUCCUACUUGUGGUAAGAAGCAUGGGGGUAGGACAUGCUAUAGAGAGACUGGAGCUUGCUUUGGUUGUGGGAAGCAAGGACAUUUGAUUAGAGAUUGUCCAGAGAAUAGGAAGUUCAUCACUGGGAAGCCUAAGGAGGAAAAUAAGGAGGAUAAACAGAAACCCAAAGCCCAAGGACGGGUGUUUGCUAUGACUCAUCGAGAUGCUCAGGCCACUUCUGAUGUGGUGACAGGUACUCUUCGAAUCCACACCUUAUUUGCUAGAGUCUUGAUUGAUCCUGGAUCAACACACUCUUUUGUUUCAGUAUCUUUUGCUGGUUUGUUGGGUUUGCCUGUUGCUAGCAUGGACUUUGAUUUGAUUGUUGCUACUCCUGUGGGAGAUUCUAUGGUGGCUAGUAGAAUGCUUAGAAAUUGUAUUGUGAUGAUUGGUUAUAGGGAAAUGCCAGUUGAUUUAAUACUCCUUGACCUUCAGGAUUUUGAUGUGAUUUUGGGGAUGGAUUGGUUAGCUUCCUACCAUGCCUCUGUUGACUGUUUUGAGAAAAGGGUGACGUUUAGUAUUCCUGGUCAGCCUAAGUUUAGCUUUGAAGGGAAGCAUGUGGACAGACCACUGCGUAUGAUCUCAGCCUUGCGAGCUAGUAGCUUGCUUAAGAAGGGUUGCCAAGGAUUUUUGGCUAGUGUGGUAAGUAAUGAAAGUGAUUUGAAGUUGGAAGACAUACCCAUAGUAAGGGAGUAUCCUGAUGUCUUUCCAGAGGAUUUGCCUGGCUUGCCACCAGAGAGAGAGGUGGAGUUCACUAUCGAUCUAGUACCAGGAACAGGUCCUAUGUCUAAGGCCCCAUACAGGAUGGCACCUGUGGAGCUUAAGGAGUUGAAAGUUCAGCUUCAGGAGUUAUUAGACAAGGGUUUUAUCAGGCCUAGUGUUUCACCUUGGGGAGCUCCUGUUCUAUUUGUAAAAAAGAAGGAUGGCUCAAUGAGACUUUGCAUUGACUAUAGGGAGUUGAAUAAGGUGACAGUGAGGAAUAAGUAUCCCCUUCCUCGGAUAGAUGAUUUGUUUGAUCAGCUACAAGGUGCUUGUAUGUUCUCCAAGAUAGAUCUUCCAUCGGGUUAUCACCAGUUGAGGGUUAGAGGGGAAGAUGUACCCAAGACUGCUUUUCGAACUAGGUAUGGGCACUAUGAGUUUCUUAUUAUGCCUUUUGGUUUGACUAAUGAACCUACUGCUUUUAUGGACUUGAUGAAUAGGGUAUUCAAACCCUAUUUAGAUCAGUUUGUGGUGGUUUUUAUAGAUGACAUCUUGGUUUACUCAAGAAGUAGAGAGGAGCAUGAGGGCCAUUUGAGUAUUGUAUUACAGACCCUCAGAGAUAAGCAGUUGUAUGCUAAACUGAAGAAGUGUGAGUUUUGGUUGGACCGAAUUUCUUUCCUUGGGCAUGUGGUAAGCAAUGAUGGCAUCUCAGUUGACCCUGGCAAGGUAGAUGCUGUAGCUAAUUGGAGAAGACCUAGUACUGUGAUUGAGAUUCGAAGUUUCUUGGGACUUGCUGGUUACUAUAGGCGGUUUAUAGAAGGGUUCUCUAAGAUUGCCCUACCUUUAACUAAGUUGACACAGAAGGGAGUUAAGUUUGAGUGGUCUGAUGAUUGUGAAUGUAGCUUCCAAGAGUUGAAGAAUAGAUUAGUGUCAGCUCCUAUUUUGACUAUCCCUUCAGGUUCAGGAGGAUUUGUGGUGUAUAGUGAUGCCUCUCAUCAGGGUUUGGGUUGUGUUCUUAUGCAGCAUGGGAGAGUUGUAGCUUAUGCUUCUAGACAGUUGAAGCCUUAUGAAAGGAACUACCCUACUCAUGAUUUGGAGUUAGCUGUUGUGGUUUUUGCACUUAAGAUCUGGAGACAUUUUCUGUUUGGUGAAACUUGUGAGAUAUUCAUAGAUCAUAAGAGUUUGAAGUAUUUAUUUUCCCAAAAGGAAUUGAACAUGAGACAGAGGAGGUGGAUUGAACUACUUAAGGACUAUGAUUGUAUUAUUCAGUAUCAUCCUGGGAAGGCGAAUGUUGUAGUUGAUGCCUUGAGUAGGAAGUCAGUUGGGUCUCUAGCAGCUAUUAGAGGUUGUCAAAGGCAGUUACUUGAAGAGUUGAGGAGUUUACAAGUCUACUUUCAAGUUAUGGGCUUAGGAGCACUUGUAGCAAAUUUCAGAGUACAACCAGACUUAGUUGGGAGAAUUAAGACCCUACAAAAGAAUGAUUCUCGAUUAGUGCAAGUUAUGGAGGAAGUUAAGAGGGGCAGUAAGCUUGAUUUUGUUUUGUCGGAUGAUGAGAUCUUGAGAUUUGGGACUAGACUUUGUGUCCCAAAUGAUGAAGACUUAAGGAGGGAGCUUUUAGAGGAAGCUCAUUGUUCCAAGUUUGCAAUCCACCCAGGAGGGACAAAGAUGUACAAGGAUUUGAGGCAAAACUAUUGGUGGUCAGGUAUGAAGCGUGAUAUUGCACAAUUUGUGGCUCAGUGUUUAGUGUGUCAACAGGUGAAGGCUGAACAUCAGCGACCAGCAGGGUCUUUACAGCCACUUGCUAUUCCUGAGUGGAAGUGGGAGCAUAUUACCAUGGAUUUUGUGAUAGGAUUGCCAAGAACCUUAGGGGGUAAUAAUGCUAUUUGGGUGAUUGUUGACCGGUUGACAAAGUCUGCUCACUUUUUGCCUAUGAAAGUCAACUUUUCUUUAGAUAUUUUAGCUUCUCUUUAUGUGAAGGAGAUUGUGAGAAUGCAUGGAGUACCAGUUUCUAUAGUGUCUGACAGAGAUCCUCGUUUCACUUCUAGAUUCUGGCAUAGUCUACAAAAAGCUUUGGGCACUAAGUUGAGUUUUAGUACUGCUUUCCAUCCUCAAACUGAUGGCCAAUCAGAAAGGGUAAUUCAGGUUUUGGAAGACUUGUUGAGAGCUUGUAUUUUGGACCUGCAAGGUAAUUGGGAUGAUCAUUUACCUUUAGUAGAGUUUGCCUAUAACAAUAGUUUUCAAGCUAGCAUUGGGAUGGCACCUUUUGAGGCAUUGUAUGGUAGGAAAUGUCGAUCUCCUAUCUGUUGGAAUGAUGUUGGAGAAAGGAAACUUUUGGGGCCUGAACUUGUGCAGUUGACUGUUGAAAAAGUUGCUUUGAUUAAAGAAAGAUUAAAAGCAGCUCAAAGUAGACAUAAGAGUUAUGCUGAUCAUCGUAGGCGAGAUUUGGAGUUUGAGGUAGGUGAUCAUGUGUUCUUGAAAGUUUCACCUAUGAAGUCUGUGAUGAGAUUUGGGAGAAAAGGAAAACUUAGUCCUCGUUUUGUGGGUCCGUUUGAAAUAUUAGAAAGAGUAGGCACUUUGGCAUAUAAAGUAGCCUUGCCCCCAAGUCUAUCUAAGAUUCAUAAUGUUUUCCAUGUUUCAACCUUGAGGAAGUAUAUUUAUGAUCCCUCUCAUAUUGUGGAGUUGGAGCCUAUUCAAAUUUCUGAGGACUUGAACUAUGAAGAGGUACCCGUUCAAAUUGUGGAUGUGAUGGAUAAGGUACUGCGACAUGCUGUUGUCAAAUUGGUAAAGGUUCAAUGGAGCAACCAUAGUGUUCGUGAAGCUACUUGGGAGUUAGAAGAAGAGAUGAGAGAAAAACAUCCUCAAUUAUUUCAAGACUCAGAAUUCCAGAGAACGUAAGGUUGGAGUCAGAUUUCAGGGUUAAAUAACAGAUCUCUAUAGGUGAAGAGUAGAUUAUAUUUUUCAGAAUUAUUCUUCUCCCAAGCUUUCAAGGACUUCUUUUGAGGUACUCUUAGUUCGGGUGAGGAGUGAUGGCUAGGCUGAGGAAUGGUCAUCAUUAGGAUUUGACUUAGGAUUUUAUGUUGGAUUUUGUUUAACUAUUAGUUAUGUUCAUUUGAAUCUUUUGAUAAUUGGAAGUUAUUUGGAAAUUGAAUUUUGAGGAUUUUAGAUUUUGUUCCGCUACUCUGAACAGGUAUUUGGUAAUUGGUAACAUUCAGUUACAAUAUGAUUGUUUGGGUC